GCGGACGUGGUGCACGGUGCAGGGCUGCAUUUCAUUUGAGGUUGACGAGAAAAUUGAAGCAGCUGUCGGGGUUCGACUCCCCACGUCCGUA
This is a non-coding RNA of Mycena leptocephala, 91 nucleotides long. Lineage: Eukaryota; Fungi; Basidiomycota; Agaricomycetes; Agaricales; Mycenaceae. The record is from the annotation of a GenBank genome assembly.